This 394-nucleotide ribosomal RNA is filed under the name uncultured Porphyromonadaceae bacterium. RNAcentral's name for it is "bacterial SSU rRNA". It matches the Rfam family "Bacterial small subunit ribosomal RNA", at positions 355 to 746 of the family's 1533-position model. Lineage: Bacteria; Pseudomonadati; Bacteroidota; Bacteroidia; Bacteroidales; Porphyromonadaceae. The record is from RNAcentral.
UGAGGAAUAUUGGUCAAUGGGCGGGAGCCUGAACCAGCCAAGUCGCGUGAGGGAGGAAGGUCCUACGGAUUGUAAACCUCUUUAGCCGGGGAGCAACGUGCGCCACGCGUGGCGCAGUGAGAGUACCCGGAGAAUAAGCAUCGGCUAACUCCGUGCCAGCAGCCGCGGUAAUACGGAGGAUGCAAGCGUUAUCCGGAUUCAUUGGGUUUAAAGGGUGCGUAGGCGGCUUGGUAAGUCAGCGGUGAAAUUCCAGUGCUCAACAUUGGCCGUGCCGUUGAUACUGCUGGGCUUGAAUGCGGAUGCCGUGGGAGGAAUGUGCGGUGUAGCGGUGAAAUGCAUAGAUAUCACACAGAACACCGAUUGCGAAGGCAUCUCACGAAUCCGCAAUUGACGC